RNAcentral lists this long non-coding RNA (5626 nucleotides) under Podarcis lilfordi (Lilford's wall lizard). Lineage: Eukaryota; Metazoa; Chordata; Lepidosauria; Squamata; Lacertidae. The record is from RNAcentral.
AUAAGGAUGGCUGUCACUAUCUCCACAGGUCAGAAGCCAUGAAAAAAGAAAACAGAAACACUUUGCUGUGAGUACAUGCCUCAAAUGUCUCUGGACUUGCAUUCAGUUUUUUAGACCAAGCUACCAUAAUGUUUGGUAAUGUCUGAAUUUUGAAUUAAUUAUAUUUCCAACCCAUCAAUCGUCACAAUGACAAAAUAAUCAAAACAAUGCAUGGUCAGAAGGCACAUAAAGUCACCCUCUUGCUUAAGUUAAGCUGGUCUGGGUUUCAGUGCCUGGAUAGAUGACUGCCUUUAGUUUCAUGACAUAAAUUACAAUAUUAAAAUAAAGAUAUAAAAACCCAACAACAGCAGCAACAACCCCUCAACAACAACAACAACACUGGAGUCUGUUCAGCAGUCUCAGCUGGAGCCGGUCAAAACCCUGCCCUCCUUCCAGAGGGAGAGAGCAAUAUGAGCAGAGGCUCCUUGCUCCUGUCCUGCAUAGCUGGUUGGUUAGAGCAAACCAGUGAACAGGCAGUGAUAGCAAAGAGGGGAGAAGGCAGGGUUGGGCUCCAGCAAUGGGCCCCUUAUUGUGAGCCUUGGCAGGUACUCCAGGGUGCAACUCCUGAUGUUUGCCCUGGCUGGCAGAUGCACAGAUGGCACUCCUCUAUUGCUUGGAUGGAAAAGGACAUAAUAGUAUUAUACUCCUUUGGCUUAAGAGGUGAGUCAAAGCAGUUUGCAGACAACAGGAGGGUUUCUCCUUCCAUGCCACAGCACGAGAAUGCUUCUUGCUUUACCUCAAGCUGUUUGGUAAAGCAGGGGUAAAAGGGAAGGAAAGGAAAGUGGGGGGUAGACUUGUUAGCUGUUCUUUUUUGUGGGAGGGAGGCUAUCCUUAUUUGAAUAAGUUUUCUGGUAUGAAUUAUCUGCCAAAUACAGCUAAAUGCCCAAGAUAGGGGUAGAAGAAGGCAGAGUUUUGUUGUGUUUGUGGGUAAGGAUAGGCAGAUUUGUCAUUUUCAGUUUCUCAUUUUUUUUCCUGAAGAGAAGGAGAGCCUCUGAAAUGUCCAGGUCAAACCUUCAAAUCCAUCUGUGGUACUCCACCAGGCUGUGAGACUUGGCAGUCACCAGUUGCCUUGCAGCAGAGCACUUAUUCCACUGCCUUGGAACCUAAAGCUAAACUUCCAAGGAUCCCUCCAGAUGGUGCAGGGACAUCAGUUGUUAUAAAGGACAUAGAAAAAACAGUUUUUGGCAGCAGAAUGAAAAUCUUGCCCAAAGAAAGAAUUAAGAGAAGGCAGGCAGCAUCCAGACUAGCAAUUCCACACAGCAAGGAGCUGUUUUAAGAAGCAGUUUUAAAGAACUUAACUCAGCAGGCAACAGGAUGUGUUAGGCACAGAUACCUUUUACAAAGCAUGUAUUAGUGUUUGAGAAGCUGUACUACAGGAGGUUCCCAAAAAGAAUUCUGGUAAGUCUCUGCAGUCACCUGUUUGGCUCAACUUUCAAGGAAGGUCAUAGGAGGGUUGUUGCAUCUACAGUCAUACCUCUUGUUACAUUCAGUUCAGGUUACGUCUUUUCAGGUUGUGUCCCGCGGCGACCCAGAAGUACCGGAAAGGGUUACUUCUGGGUUUCGCCGCUCGCGCAUGCGCAUACGCUCAAAAUGACAGCAUGCGCAGAAGCAGCGAAUCACGACCCACGAUUUUGUGCAGACGCGGGUUGCGUUCUGCUCAUGUUGCAAACGGGGCUCUGGAACGGAUCCCUUUCACAACCAGAAGUACCACUGUACUGUUUAGUCAUGAAGUAUCAGCACUCCAUAAUAUCUGCUCGCCCCAACCCUUGGGUGGGCAGGGUUUGCGACACCGUGUGGGCACCUGGAACAGGUGAGCCUUUGUUCCAGAGAGACCAUCGCCCUGCCCCCAUCUCGGCAGGCCUAUGGGCAGCAGGCUGGGGGUGGGGCGAGGGUCAGCUUAAGGGCAGUUGCUGUUGCUGCUUUCAGUCUCAGCAGUCACUGCACACGUUGCGAGGGAAUAAUUUAGAGCAAGGGUCAGCAAACGUACCGCGCCUCGGGCCGGUGUCUCCAGCGCUGAUCGUGCGGCGGUCUGGAGGGUGGGGGAGCGCGUGCCCAUACACGUGAGCACGCGCUAUUUCCGACACACGUCUGGGUUGGAGAAGCACCAGAAAUAACUUGUGUGUAUGUGCACGGGCCUCCUCCGACCCGGAUGUGCACCAGAAAUAACGCUUGCGCAUGCGUAAAUAACCCUUGCGCAUGUGCACAAGCUAUUUCCGGUGCUCCUCCGACCCAGAAGUGGGCAGCUGCGCAGCGCAGCUCCGGUAAGAGCGGGCAGCAGCAGCGGGGGUCACCGCGGGCCAGAUAAAUGAGUCCCUCAGGUCUUAUCCAGCCAGCAGACCUUAGUUUGGAGACCCCUGAUUUAGAGCAUAUUGAUAUAACAUUUAUAACAGUGUUUUUAUAUAUCCAGAUACUGAAUAUUACCUGUGACACUGUGAAGGCGUAGAUAUUAUUGGUGCAUUUUGUAAAAAAAAAUUGCAACCUCCCACCCCUUGGUUUGCAACCCUCCACCCCACUUCACGUUUGAUUGCUGUUGAUGGUUCCUGCCUGGUUCAUUUACUGUUAAUUUGCCUCCAUUGUGUGUGUUAUUUGUAAUCAUGGGCUGCCUGGAGGGCUUUUCGCAGUCUGAGGUGGUUAGUCUUUUGGUUCAUUGUUUAAGACCUGCAGAUACUCAUAAGUAUUGCUGUUGGUUUAAAUUAAUUCAUUUGCUUUAGCUUUUCAUUUUGGUUUAUUUCAUUAAAGUUGCGUCUGCAGGAAUUUAUUAUAGAGGUACUCUUGGCAAUCAUUAAAUGAUAAACAGUGGUAGUGGCCUUGUGGAUUCAUUUUAAUUAAGUUUAUACCCCUUGUUCUUCCCUGGCUGCUUUGUGCGCUUGGGGGUUUAAGCAUCUGGGUUUUUUCUUGCAUUUCAUUCAGUUGUUCAAUUGGUUUAAUUUUAUACAGGACCACUAGAUAGCUCGGUUAGAGUGUAGUGCUGAUAAUACCAAGUCAUAGGUCCAGUCCUCACUUGGGUCAGUGGCGUGUUCCUGCAUUACAGGGGGUUGGACUAGAUGAUGCUCAAGGUCCCUUCGAACUCCAUAAUUGUGUGUUUCAAAUAUGGUUGCUGUUCCUCACUUUCCAAUUUAAUUAAAGUUAUUACCAGUAGCUUGAAAGCAGUCAAUUACUAGCAACCACCUAUUUUCAGCCCUCCUCAGGGUGCGUUGUGCAGGUGAUUCCUGGUUCAAGCGUGAUGCGCCUGGAUGUAAUCUAACAUAUUACUGUAUUUAGCUUGCAAGUUUGCUUUUUGGCUUUGGGGGUGCAGUUCUUGCGGCUAACGUAUUGCAUGGGUUGCCUCAUGGUGGCUUACAGUUUUGGCUACCAGCACACGGCUUGGGUGAUGCAGUUCUGAUCUCAAGCAUAUGAUUGUGGGAAUCUAACGUAUUAUUUUGCUUGCCCUUCAGUAUUGCCUUUAGCGGUGCAUGUGCAGUAAGGUUGCUGGUGCUGUCUGUUAGACCUUAGUUUAGCAAUCCAACUGUUAGAUUUCAGCUUGCUCCCACAGUGUUACAUCAACAAGCAGCUGGUUAUUCCUUGUUUUCACAUGCUGGUUUUACCAUCAGGUCUCCCGUAAAGGGGGCAUUUCCACAUAAGAAAUGUAUGUAGAAGAAAUGUAACUAAGCAUAUGUGACAUCAAAAUGCUGAAGGGAAAAGCUUUGACAGCAAAAAGUACGUGCAUCAGUUGAACAUGUAAACUCACUGAAUGAUAAUUCCAACUUCAUGUUCACUGUGCAAUAAUUACUGGAAGCCAGCAUGUUGACCAGAUUAACAGUAAUUAAAAAAACCAGAGGAUCUAUAAAUAUGAGUUACUGCUACUUCCCAGAAAAUCAUCUUUGUGGGUAGAAAAGCCAAAUGCAAAUGACCCAGUUGGAACAGGUGGCUGCGAAAACGAUAUAAACACAUGCUUUGCAUUUGUUUUUAAUAGCACUUUUUAAAAUUCUCCAAGAAAACUCACAGUAAAAUCCCCAUGUGUGUGUGUAUAGGGGUGUCUUACAGAAGAUGUCCCAUUGAAGUGGGGGAGGGGGGCUUAUGUCUAAGUAGAUAGGACUGCACUGCACAACUAUUCCAAAAUUUAAAAGGCAGCAACAUCUCACAUUAUACAUUUGAAUCCAAAUACUAGUCUGGAAUAAAUCAGCAUGUUUGCUAGAUAGAUUUGUGUAUUAAAACACUUUAAAAAUUAAUGUACAAUAGCUUACAAGCCAGCAACACUGACAUAUUUAAUAAAGUGGAGAUUACAUAAAUAUUAAGGUAAAAGAAUGAAAAGCUUUGUUUUGGAAGAGGGGUAAAAUUAUAUUUCCUAGAAUUAAUGGAUAAUUAUUUUCUACUUAUAUGCUGUCAUGGAUGCAUGGAGAAGAGUAUCUGUAGUGACAAAGAAAGAGUUUCAUUCAUGUCACAACAGCAGUUUAAUGCUCACUGCAGCAUGGAGUUACAGUAUAUCUAACAGAUUUUUAAGAAUCCCACCCCUUUUGUGCUGAACAAAAAUCUCUUUUAUCUGUUUGGGAAUGACAUUCAAGUUAUAACUGUAUUAUAGAAAUCUGCAAGUUCACUUGAUCCUGAUGAAGAAACAUUUGAUUAGCCAUGCAGUGCUUUACACACACUUAAGAACAUUAGUCCAUCUACACUGUAUUGUCUACACUGCACAUAGGGCUCACUGAGGCUAAAUAUCUGGCUGCUAGGAAGGGAUGUGGUGAGAUCAUGGCAAAAUCCUUCUCCCCUUCUCAACACAUUCCAAAAAUCAGAGCACCCUGAAAAUCAGACAUAAUCAAGAAUAGCCACCAACCAAUGUUUCGUACAGAAUUAUCUCACUAGUACUGCAACUCUGCAUAAUAAAGUACUGAAACACAACAUUGAUCCAUUUGAAAGUAUUUAACCUAACUGGGACGCAGGUGGCACUGGGGACGUGGGUGGUGCUGUGGUCUAUCAGAAGGUCAGUGGUUCGAAUCCCCGCGACGGGGUGAGCUCCCGUUGCUCGGUCCCAGCUCCUGCCAACUUAGCAGUUUGAAAGCACGUCAAAGUGCAAGUAGAUAAAUAGGUACCGCUCCAGCGGAAAGGUAAAUGGUGUUUCUGUGUGCUGCUCUGGUUCGCCAGAAGCAGCUUAGUCAUGCUGGCCGGAAGCUGUCUGUGGACAAAUGCCGGCUCCCUCGGCCAGUAAAGCAAGAUGAGCGCCGCAAGCCCCGAGUCGUCUGCGACUGGACUUAAUGGUCAGGAGUCCCUUUACCUUUACCAUAAUUGUAAGACCACAUGGCAAUCUGGAGGUUUCCCCCCUUGGGACAGACAGUAGGGUUCAUUGGGGCAGGGAGCGUCUACCGGGAAAACUCGUUUCCUGCAUGCUACUGUCAUAGUCAUAGUCCAAAUUCUCCCAUGCUUUUGUUUAUUAACAUUUGCGUUCAAUAUGCUUAUUUGUGAGCCUUUAUUUUUGUAUCAGAGCGGCUUACAAGCAAUAAUAAAAACCAGUUGAAUGAUUACAACUUAAAAACAAAAUUAAAAUACAACAUUAAAAUAUUGAAACAUUAAAAUAUUGAAACAUUAAAAUAUUAAAAUGUAGCCUCAUCGCAGGAGG